CCGGGAUGUUCAUAACCCUUUGUUGUCCGACUCUGUUGCCUCCGGGGCGACCCUGCCUUCGGGCGGGGGCUCCGGGUGGACACUUCAAACUCUUGCGUAACUUUGCAGUCUGAGUAAACUUAAUUAAUAAAUUAAAACUUUUAACAACGGAUCUCUUGGUUCUGGCAUCGAUGAAGAACGCAGCGAAAUGCGAUAAGUAAUGUGAAUUGCAGAAUUCAGUGAAUCAUCGAAUCUUUGAACGCACAUUGCGCCCCCUGGUAUUCCGGGGGGCAUGCCUGUUCGAGCGUCAUUUCACCACUCAAGCCUCGCUUGGUAUUGGGCAUCGCGGUCCGCCGCGUGCCUCAAAUCGACCGGCUGGGUCUUCUGUCCCCUAAGCGUUGUGGAAACUAUUCGCUAAAGGGUGUUCGGGAGGCUACGCCGUAAAACAACCCCAUUUCUAAGGUUGACCUCGGAUCAGGUAGGGAUACCCGCUGAACUUAAGCAUAUCAAUAAGCGGAGGAA
This 501-nucleotide ribosomal RNA is filed under the name Cladosporium sp. YIMPH30014. RNAcentral describes it as "eukaryotic LSU rRNA". The stretch from base 136 to 289 matches the Rfam family "5.8S ribosomal RNA". Lineage: Eukaryota; Fungi; Ascomycota; Dothideomycetes; Cladosporiales; Cladosporiaceae. The record is from RNAcentral.